Phyllostomus discolor (pale spear-nosed bat) is the source of this 135-nucleotide small nucleolar RNA. RefSeq annotates it as small nucleolar RNA SNORA48. NCBI's taxonomy places the organism in Eukaryota, Metazoa, Chordata, Mammalia, Chiroptera, Phyllostomidae. The record is from RefSeq and is a predicted model, not a curated record. The transcript has a single exon.
UGUCCCUGACCUGGGUAGAGUGGCCUCUGGUUCAGUGGUGCUUGUCUCGUACCAGUCAGGGACAAAAUAACUCCUUGUUUAUCCCAGCCUCACUUUUGAUCUGUGCUCAUGCUGAUUCAUGCCCAGGAUACUUGG